Molecule: non-coding RNA, 3444 nt
Organism: Rattus norvegicus (Norway rat)
Lineage: Eukaryota; Metazoa; Chordata; Mammalia; Rodentia; Muridae
Source: RefSeq, a predicted model, not a curated record
UUACAUAGUAACAAACAAACAAAACGCAAAACAAAAAGAGAAUGUGUGCCAAUGGACUAAUGUGCAAAAAAGUUACAUAUUUUACUUUUUUAUUUUUUUUUUUAUAAUAUGUGCAUUGACUGUCCAAGGCCGGCCAGGACUAUGCAGUGAGAUCCAGGCCAGCUUCUGCUACUGUGAGACUCUGUCUCAAGAAACAGGAUGCAGGAAUUCUGAAUAAGACGGCAGAGGAGAAGCCUCACCACUUAAACUCUGGAAGAGAAAACAGCAAAGGGAGUGGCUAAAAAGCUCCUACCUGGCAAAAUACAAGAUUAAUUAAGUUCGCCCCCACCUUGGCCAGAGAAGAUUUCUUUCUGCUGUGGGCAGCAGUUAGAGAAGAAGGCGAAGAGUAAGUGUUUGUGAAUGUCUAAUCCAUCUACGCUCGCUCCUCCCUCCGAGGUGUACGAGGAGGCGGGGCGAACCGAACAUCCCGGAAGAAGGGGUGAGAAAAAUGUAAGAGCUGCAGGCCUGGGAGGGAGCUGUCCACGGGAUGUGACAGGUCGUCUGCUGCACUCCGGGACCCUCAGCAACUGUGGUUUCCUGCACAAGCUCAAGCCAGUCAGAACUUCCACCGUGAAAAGAAGAGGGGCUGCUGGCAGCUGAUGGCUCUGAGGAAGAGAAAGUCCGGCUUUUUCCUGAGUGUGGCCUCUUGAAGAUUGCCCUGGAUCCAGACGGCGCCAAACCCUUUCCUACAGGAGCAGUUCCGACUGGACUUAGUGGGUUGCUCUUAAAAGAAAAGAAAAUGAAGUGGGAAGGAUAGAGGAAGGAUCUGGGAUAAAUUGGUAUGAUCGAAAGAAGGAAAUUCUCAAAGAAUGGGUAAAAAAAAAAUUUUUUUUUUUGGAAAGGGAAGGGAAGCCUAGCAUCAUGGUGGAGUCUGCCUGUGAUCAGGGGGAUGGACAGAUGGCACUGGGACUAAGCACCGUCUGCUCUUCCAGAGGACUUGGAUUUGAUUUUCAGCACCCACAUGGCCACUCGCCUCUGUCCGUAACUCAGGAAAUUAGACACCCUCUCUGGACCCUGUGGGCUCUGUACGAACACGGUGCGCAGGCAUACAUGCGGGUGAAUUAUCUAAGGCAUAGCAAUAAAUUAUAAAAAGUAACACAACAAUAAAUAAUAAUCUGUUUCACCUGGUGCAAGCCUUUAGCCCCAGCACUCAGGAAGCAGACACAGAUGGCUCUCUGUGAGUUCAAGGCCAGCCUGGUGUACAGUACUAGUUCCAGGACAGCUGAGGCAACACAGAGAAACCCUAUCUGGGGAUGGGGAGAGGAACAGAUGGUGGAAAGAUGGAUCAGUGGUUAGGGCACACGCCUUUAAUCCCAGCACUCAGGAGGCAGAGGCAGGCGGAUCUCUGUGAGUUCAAAGCCAGCCUGGUCUACAGAGUGAGUUCCAGGACAGCCAAGGCUACAACAGAAAAACCUUGUCUUGAAAAACAAACAACAACAAACAAAACAAAAACUCUCUCUUGGACAGUAUCUUAUGCAGACCAGGAUGACAACUUGAUGUGUAGCUGAAUCUGGCCUGAACUUCUGACCCUCCUAUCUCCACCUCUCCAGUCAGUGUGUCUGUCUUCUGUGUUCCUUUUUGGAGGAGAUGAUGUCAUGCUAGCCUGUAGGCAUGGGCUGCUAUUUCCUGGGGAGAAGCACCCUCCAGGCCCACUUACCCCACCCAACCGGGGCCUCUAGCUCCCCGUCAAGGGCCGAGCUCACAGGUCCCACGUCUUCAAUUACAAAACUUCUUUCCAAUACCAGGAUGAGAUGCCUGCAUGAUUAAAUCUCUCCCCUCCCUUCCAGAAACUCCGCUCCAACCACCUACUGCCUAUUGGAGACUGCCAGAGGCAGAGUCAGCAGCUCUGACAGCAAACAGCUUUUCCCCUUUGGCACCCUGGACUCCUCUAAUUCCUGUGCUGGCCUAAAUGAGCUUAGAGGGCUUGGCAGCUGCUCCAGAUGGGCUCCAGUCCCAUCCCCGAGGCCCGGAAGCCCACAGGAAUCUGGGGGCGCUCCAGAUGAGGAAAUAAUGGACUCCUGAGAGCCUGGCUUUGCCUCAGAUGUGGGAGUCCUGACACCCAGUUAAUGAAAUAGAUUACUCCGAUUGGCUAGACUCUGCCGUCGCUGGGGCCUCCGAGACAGAUUGGGGAAGGGCAUGUACAUGGAGGUCAUAUGUAUGGAGGUCAGAGGACAAUGGCAGGAGCUGCUUCUUCCCUCCCACCACAUAGGCUUCAUGGAACUCAAGUCUUCAAGCUUCAAAGUAAUCACCUUCACCCACUGAGCCAUGUCAUCCGCCAGGUGUGUGUGUGUGUGUGUGUGUGUGCGUGUGUGUAUGUGUGCGUGUGUGUAUGUGUGCAUGUGCAUGUGUGUGCAUGCGUAUGUGUAUGUGCGCGUGUGUGUAUGUGUGCAUGUGCAUGUGUGUGCAUGCGUAUGUGUGUGUGCGUGUGUGUAUGUAUGUGUGUGCGUGCGUGUGUGUGCGCACGAGUGUGUAUGUGUGUGCGCGUGUGUGUGUGCGCGUGCGUGUGUGCGUGCAUGUGUGUAUGUGUGCAUGUGCGUGUGUGUGCGCGCGUGUGUGCAUGUGUGUGCGUGUGUGCGUGCAUGUGUGUAUGUGUGCAUGUGCGUGUGUGUGCGCGCGUGUGUGCAUGUGUGUGCAUGUGUGUGUGCAUGUGUGUAUGUGUGCAUGUGCGUGUGUGUGCAUGCGUAUGUGUAUGUGUGCGCAUGUGUGUGUGUGCGCGUGUGUGUGUAUGUGUGUGUGCAUGUGUGUGUGUGUGCGUGUGUGUGUAUGUGUGUGCGCGCGUGCGAGUGUGUGUGUGUGUGAAUUUGUUUGUUUUAUUUGUGUGAAUACUUUACCUGCACGUACGUCUAUACACUACGUGCCUAUCUGGCUCCUGCAGAGAUCAGAAGUAAAUAUCAGCUCAUCUGGAACUGGAGUUACUGAUGAGAGGCAGGAUGUGUGUUCUGGGACCCAAACCCAGGUACUCUGCAAGGGCAGGUGUUCCUAACCACCUCUCUAGGUUAUGUUGACUGACUGACUGACUGACUGACUGACUGACUGACUGACACCUGUGUGUGAAUACUGAAGGUCAGAAGACAAUUGAGGGAUUAGUUCUCUUCUCCCACCACGUGGAUUGGAGGGGGACACGCAAUUAAAAUCGCGUUGUCAGGCUUGAUAGCAGGUGCCUUCCCCUCCAGGGACGGUUUGAAUAAGAAUGGCCCCACAGUCUCCUAUAUUAGAGUGCUUAGUCCCUAGAGAGCAGCACUGUUAAAAAGACUAAGAGAUACGGCUUUGUUGGAGGAAACAUGGUACUUGGGGUAGGCUUUGAGCUCAUGCCAAACCCAAUCUCUCUCUCUCUCUCUCUCUCUCUCUCUCUCUCUCUCUCUCUCUCUCUCUCUCUCUCUCUGUAUCAUGAUGUAGCUCUCCAAC